This 1355-nucleotide long non-coding RNA is filed under the name Prunus persica (peach). RNAcentral describes it as "long non-coding RNA (PPER_LNC002146)". Lineage: Eukaryota; Viridiplantae; Streptophyta; Magnoliopsida; Rosales; Rosaceae. The record is from RNAcentral.
UUUGGUAGGCCAUCAACUACCACCAACCAGAGGGAAAGCGUUGUUCUUGUUGAGGGCGCUGAAGGGUUUUCGGUACUUCUUCUCCUCCUCCUCCUCUUCAUGUUGCCUCUUCUGCUUUGCCAGUUCAAGCAUCAAAACGCAUCCAUUUGCAAAGCUUCUCUCGGAAUCACUAUAAACACGCAAGCCUUGGCUUUCUAAACUCAUAAAGGUGAUGAACGCACCGAUAAUGGGUAAGCCUCUCUUUCCCGCUCUUGAUAGUUCACUUCGAAUUGAAGAAUUUGCUUUUUAUUUUCCUUGAAUGGGUUUUGGAAUAAAAUCAAAUUAAAGUAUGCAAUUCAUUAAUUAUAAAUUGUAUUUGGGGAAGACCCAUUGCCAGGAGAUUUCCCAGAAGUGUAGAGGAGUAUUUGGAACAUGGGGUUAUGAAAUGCAUUGCCAUCCCCAUAAGAUGUUUUUUCAAAACUUUUUUUUCCAUUAGAAAUUAAGUGCUUUGGGCAAUGUGGCUAUGUGGUAUUUCGAAAGUUGUGAUUUUCUGUUUAGAUUUCUUUUAGUUUUGUCCUGCUGUUUAUUAUGGGGUCCUUUUUGCUGAAUUAAUUGCUUAUCAAAAUUAAAAGGAAGGCUGUAAAUUUGGUUGCACAUUGGGGUAUAGAAACACCAUUGCCAGUUUAUACAGCACUCACUUGUUCUUCUUCCACAAUUUGUACUUUUGAAACUAAUAUAUAAGGAGUUGAAUCCACAAUUUGUAACAAAGUGGAAUUGCUAGCUAUUCCAGAAAAAUUAAAGAAUAGGUCAAUUAGUUGGAAUUUUUUUACGGUUUCGUUUUCAGUUAGGUCUCUGCGUUAAUACCCUACAUGAGCCUUACUUUUAACUAAUUGGUUCUUUAAUUUCUCCUUUACACUUUUAUUGAAGAACACAUAAACUACGGGCAUUUCUUAUUAAUCGUCUUGCUAGCCAAGGAUAUAAACGAAACCCCAUUUACAUAGAUUUCUCCUGGAGAUAGGUAGGUUUGACAUAUCUGUAAUCAAAUGAGAAAAAGAUAUUGGCCGGGCUUAGUUCAUGGUUUUUCCAGAGGACCAUAAGCUGUAGGAAGCAGAAGCCCCAAGUGCCAGAAGAACAAGAACAGCUGCUCCCAUAUUGAUCAACAUCUGCUUCUCUUCAUCAUUCACCCCCUCUCCUAGAUUUCUCAUGCCCUCCUUUGCAGCAGCCAUCACAUUUGCAGCAAUGGAAUCCUCCUCUGUAUGCUUCUCUCGGUCAACAGCGCUCCCAGAACUCUUGCUCUUUCUCUUUGCCUUUUCUAAAAUCUUUGGGACAGCCCCUGCUUCUUUGCUUCUCUCAUUGGCCUCUCUUUCCUUCUGCAG